GGUGAGAUGGCCGAGUGGUCCAAGGCGCUAGGUUUAGGCCCUAGUCCCAUAUUACUUGGGGCGGGAGUUCGAACCUCCCUCUCAUCA
This is a non-coding RNA of Hydnum rufescens UP504, 87 nucleotides long. The record is from the annotation of a GenBank genome assembly. Lineage: Eukaryota; Fungi; Basidiomycota; Agaricomycetes; Cantharellales; Hydnaceae.